AACACUGUUAACCUGCGGUACCUGCGGAAGGAUCAUUACCGAGUUUACAAACUCCCAACCCUAUGUGAACCUUACCAAUCGUUGCUUCGGCGGGCUUAGCCCCCGCGCCCUCGCCGGCGCCGGGAGAAAGGCGCCCGCCGGGGACCCCAAACCCAAUGUUUUUCAUGCAGUAUUUCUGAGUGGCAAACGCAAAAAUAAAUCAAAACUUUUAACAACGGAUCUCAGAUCGGAAGAGCACAC
RNAcentral lists this unclassified non-coding RNA (240 nucleotides) under soil metagenome. Its description in RNAcentral is "partial contains 5.8S ribosomal RNA, internal transcribed spacer 2, and large subunit ribosomal RNA". The record is from RNAcentral.